UGAUGAGACUGCUCACUGAGCAGCAGGAAGUAAAGAUAUCCAACGCAGAGUGGGAUGCGGAACGAUGGAAAAAUGAGAGGAUGCAAGCCCGCGGGGAGCAGGCAGAGAAGGAAUCAAAUGAGUUCACAAAAGAAGUGGCAGGAUAUGCGAACUACAACAAAGUCAUCAUAGCAUCACCUGUGAUUGCAGUAGUAGCUUUUUUUUUUUGUAGUUUUCUGUCUCAUUGUGAUUUGGCAGAGGAAGGUACAUAAAAGAGGACGCUCCAGUGGCUUUUACUCACAAUUUCAUAACAAGAAAUCUUCAUCUGACCACGACAUUGAGGAUCUAGGUUUCUGGGGAAGGCGGCCUCUGUGGCUGAAGGAUAUGUAUGGUGGCCAGAAACAAGAAGGGGGAGCCUACUGCUGAGGAGGGAGCAGAGGAAAUCCUCCCCUUCCUCAGUGAGGAUUGAUGCCUGGGACUCUGCAGCUGAGACUGGAGGGGAAAGUACUUCACAAGAGGGACUCCAUCCUCAGGCUCAUUAACAUUGUUAAUAAAUAUUUUU
Long non-coding RNA from Eptesicus fuscus (big brown bat), 541 nucleotides. RefSeq lists it as uncharacterized. The record is from RefSeq and is a predicted model, not a curated record. The transcript has 6 exons. NCBI's taxonomy places the organism in Eukaryota, Metazoa, Chordata, Mammalia, Chiroptera, Vespertilionidae.